Non-coding RNA from Microcebus murinus (gray mouse lemur), 588 nucleotides. The record is from RefSeq and is a predicted model, not a curated record. NCBI's taxonomy places the organism in Eukaryota, Metazoa, Chordata, Mammalia, Primates, Cheirogaleidae.
GAGGAGGUGCCAGGCUCCUUUUAACAAGCAGCUCUCGAGGGAACCAGUAGAGCAAGAGCUCCCCCCUAAGAGGCCCACCCCUACGACCCAAACACCUCCCAUAAGGCCCCCACUUCCAACAUUGGGAUCAAAUUUCAACAUGAGGUUUGGGGCAACAAAUAUCCAAACUACAUCAGUAGUAUUGUUAAGAUUAGUAACAUGACUCAAUCUGCUUUGGAGCCGCUUGCAUGUAAACAUACGUCAAGGCCCCGUAACAGGUGCCAUGAUGGAAGUCCAAGCAGAGAGACCAAGUGCAGGGAAUCAGCCGAGUCUUCAGAAGGGACAGGGUGUUGGAACUGAGUCUUACUAGCACCACGUGGGCGGGGAGGCUGCCUGCACCAGACACAGCUCUCAGCCCACCACACACUGAGCUUCUGUGAAAGCGCUAAAUUUAGGACCUGAAACCAGCUCAAAUGGGGACAGCAGAGCCGGCUGCGCCGAAGGACCUGGUCCAGAUGAGGAAAGCAAGGCACAGAGAGGUUAGCAACAUGCCCCAAAUCACACAGAGAGCUCCCUCUGUGCACACUGAGGACAGAAUAUGCAAACAGA